UACGUAGGGUGCGAGCGUUGUCCGGAAUUAUUGGGCGUAAAGGGCUCGUAGGCGGUUUGUCGCGUCGGGAGUGAAAACCUCGGGCUUAACUCGGGGCUUGCUUUCGAUACGGGCAGACUGGAGGUAUGCAGGGGAGAACGGAAUUCCCGGUGUAGUGGUGAUAUGCGUAGAUAUCGGGAGGAACACCAGUGGCGAAGGCGGCUUUCUGGGCAUUUCCUGACGCUGAGACGCGAAAGCGUGGGGAGCGAACCGG
This 253-nucleotide ribosomal RNA is filed under the name uncultured bacterium. RNAcentral describes it as "partial 16S ribosomal RNA". It matches the Rfam family "Bacterial small subunit ribosomal RNA", at positions 524 to 776 of the family's 1533-position model. The record is from RNAcentral.